Molecule: ribosomal RNA, 325 nt
Filed under: uncultured eukaryote
Lineage: Eukaryota
Description: partial 18S ribosomal RNA
Rfam family: Eukaryotic small subunit ribosomal RNA
Source: RNAcentral
CCCUUAGAUGUUCUGGGCCGCACGCGCGCUACACUGACUGGUGCAACAAGUGUCGCUCCUUGGCCGAUAGGCCUGGGCAAUCUUUGAACGCCAGUCGUGAUGGGGAUAGAUUCUUGCAAUUUUUGAUCUUCAACGAGGAAUUCCUAGUAAACGCGAGUCAUCAACUCGCAUUGAUUACGUCCCUGCCCUUUGUACACACCGCCCGUCGCACCUACCGAUUGAAUGGUCCGGUGAACCCUCCAGAUCGGCCCGCGCCAACGCAAGUUGAGCAAAGGCCGAGAAGUUGGGUAAACCUUACCAUUUAGAGGAAGGUGAAGUCGUAACA